UGGGGAAUAUUGCACAAUGGGCGAAAGCCUGAUGCAGCAACGCCGCGUGAGUGAUGAAGGCCUUCGGGUUGUAAAGCUCUGUCUUUUGGGACGAUAAUGACGGUACCAAAGGAGGAAGCCACGGCUAACUACGUGCCAGCAGCCGCGGUAAUACGUAGGUGGCAAGCGUUGUCCGGAUUUACUGGGCGUAAAGGAUGCGUAGGCGGAUUUUUAAGUGAGAUGUGAAAUACCCGGGCUUAACUUGGGUGCUGCAUUUCAAACUGGGAAUCUAGAGUGCGGGAGAGGAGAAUGGAAUUCCUAGUGUAGCGGUGAAAUGCGUAGAGAUUAGGAAGAACACCAGUGGCGAAGGCGAUUCUCUGGACCGUAACUGACGCUGAGGCAUGAAAGCGUGGGUAGCAAACAGGAUUAGAUACCCUGGUAGUCCACGCCGUAAACGAUGAGUACUAGGUGUAGGAGGUAUCGACCCCUUCUGUGCCGCAGUUAACACAAUAAGUACUCCGCCUGGGAAGUACGAUCGCAAGGUU
RNAcentral lists this ribosomal RNA (524 nucleotides) under uncultured bacterium. RNAcentral describes it as "partial 16S ribosomal RNA". It matches the Rfam family "Bacterial small subunit ribosomal RNA", at positions 355 to 895 of the family's 1533-position model. The record is from RNAcentral.